Pan troglodytes (chimpanzee) is the source of this 117-nucleotide non-coding RNA. It matches the Rfam family "Metazoan signal recognition particle RNA". Rfam says of the family: The signal recognition particle (SRP) is a universally conserved ribonucleoprotein. The record is from Rfam. Lineage: Eukaryota; Metazoa; Chordata; Mammalia; Primates; Hominidae.
GCUGGGCGUGGUGGCUCACGCCUGUAAUCCCAGCAGUUUGGGAGGCUGAGGCAGGUGGAUCACUUGAGGUCAGGAAUUUGAGACCAGCCUGGCCAACAUAGUGAAACCCUGUCUCUA